UACAUUUUGUUUUCACAGACUAACUUUGCCUCUUAAUGGGGUCGUGACCUCCUCUUUGCUCGGAGCUGUCUGCAAGUCAUUCAAGCAAUUAGGUAAACUCCAUGUUGCUGUCCAUAGAGGGCCGCUGCUCUGGAGUCGAAAAACUGUGCGGGAGAGACAAACUUUGAGAAAAGACGGGUGCACAAUCCCAAGCUUGCGGAAGCACGCCGUCAAUUUGCAGGCGCUACGAACCGGAGCAAGGACUAAUCUCGCCUCAUAAUGAGGCGGUGACCUCCUAUUUGCUCGGAGCAAUAUCUGCAAGUCCACACAAUGUUGAUAAAGACGACAUUGUGUCCGCCUGUAAGACAUACGAGACGGUACGCAGGAGCUUUAGGUAUACCCAGCCAGAAAACUCAUUGCGGGCGGAAGCUGCGAAGAGUUCAGCUCAGAGUCGAGCGAGAAGAAAGAGGCUGCUGGAAUCGAGACAGAGUGUGCUAGCAGAUGACGAGGUGGAACUCUGGAAGUCCGCCACCGUAGACCUCAUGUCUGACGAAGAAGAUGGCGUUGUUGGCGGGGUCUCUGGAUGGGUUGUAUGGUCGCCGUCAUUUCGUAGGCCGGAGCUCUCUGUGCGAAGCUGCAGUCCCGGUUAGAGGCAACGCCGAAGUACAGAGCCACGCACAAUAGGCGUCUGCACAACGGACCUGCCUCGGAAAGAACGCCGCCAGUUACCUACAACCCCGAGGAGGCAAACGGACAGUUCACGGAGUUGUAGUUUUUGGAUCAUCCUCUACCCAUGUGUGGGCAGA
Molecule: long non-coding RNA, 785 nt
Organism: Alosa alosa (allis shad)
Lineage: Eukaryota; Metazoa; Chordata; Actinopteri; Clupeiformes; Clupeidae
Exons: 5
Source: RefSeq, a predicted model, not a curated record